Long non-coding RNA from Dasypus novemcinctus (nine-banded armadillo), 1614 nucleotides. The record is from Ensembl. NCBI's taxonomy places the organism in Eukaryota, Metazoa, Chordata, Mammalia, Cingulata, Dasypodidae.
AUGCUUUCUCUAUGUUUACCUCUUUUCCGAGGCUCUAACACUAAGAAAACCCAGAGGGAGAGACUUUUUCGACGCUGCUCCAGGAGUUGCUUGUGCCUUCGCCCUCGAAGACUCUGGCCAUUUAGCAGGAAGAACCCAAAGAGCUUCACCCAGGAGGACACCGAGGAGAUGGACGACAGAGUCGAGGACACCACCCCUCUGAUCAGGGUGCAGGUGCAUCAUGACGCCCACAAAAGCCACAGCAGCCUAGAGGUGAGAGAGGGAGGGCCCAAGACCCCACCAUGGAAGAUCCCCGGGGCUCCCUCUCUGGGCUUCCCCAGAGGGGCUCAGUUCCCACUUACAGAGGAAUCUGGGACUCUACCCCAGUCCCUUCCCACUUCCAAUCACCAGCCUCGGUCACAUUUCCUCUAUUGGCAGGAAUGUCAGCUGCUGAUGGCCCACGAGAAUGCCAAGGUGUCUGCAAUGGAACUGCAGCAGGAGGCCUCUCCUCUUAGCAUCCAGCGUGAGGAUCUGGAGACAACUGAGGCCAAGGCAGAGGCUAAGGAGGACCAGGGGUCAGCUCCAGCCACAGCAGUAUUGCCAGCUCUAUCUCCAGCUCCAGCACCAGCUCCAGUGCCAGAGAGAGCAACUCCUGAUCAUCUCGAGCCCCCUCCCGCUCCAGCUCUUGAGUCAACUCUGGAGCUGCAGCCAACUUCAUCGCCAGCUGGAGCAACAACUAAAUUGGCAUCACAUCAGUCACCACCUGCAGUUUUGGAGGCAGCCCUAGAGCUGGACAAAGUGUCAACACCAGGCCCCAAUACAGAGCUGGAUGUAACACGAGCCCUGGCUCCAGAGUCACCUUCCCAGGUUGACCGAGAUGAUGAGCUUGAGCCAGUGCAGGCACCAGAUCCUGCUCCAACUUCUCAGCUCCAGACUUGCCUGGAGGAAGAAAUGGAGCCUUCCUUCCCCUCUCCUGUGAGAGCAUCCUUAUUCCUGUCUUCUGUCUUUUUUUUCGUAUUUUACAUUUUAUAUGAUUUGGUUUAUUUUUCUUGUUAACUUACCUUUAAAUUAAAUUUAUUGUUACUGUUUUUAAAUGUCCACGUCAGUGUCUUUAGGUACAUUACAGUGCCGUACAAUCAUCUUUGGUAACAUCUCCAGAACAUUUCUUCACCCCAAACAGGAAGCCGUCAUCUAUGUGGCAGUCCCUCUCCAUUCCCCUCUGUCACCCUGGGAACCACUCUUCUGCUUCUGUCUCCUCUUGUUGCUGUGGCCCAGCUCAGGCCUGAGCAUGUGCACGAUCUUAGCACCUAGCAGGAAGUCAUUAUCCUCAUUUCACAGCUGGGACUCAAGAGGCCUAAGAGACCUUGCUCAAAUUCCUCUGUCCAGGAAGUCAGGGAACAGGGACAGGAACUCAGGACCAGAAUUCUCAGCAGGCCCAUGUGUCUGCAGCCCCUCCACUCACUUGUGCCUGGGACCCUCCUCUCUACCACCCCAGUUCCAGAGCUCAACACCACACCACCUAAUCCAGUUUAGGCAGAGGUGGUCCAGGAGGAGAUUGUGGCCUUGGAGACACCCAUUAAUUUCCUAGGCUGCUCAGACAAAUACCAUGCAAUGAGUAGGCUUAACAAAGGGAAU